GGUUUCACCUAUGCACAAACCGUCCCUCACUUACCCACUAUUCUCUCAUUUUUCCAUAUCUCAGAUCCCUUCCAUGUUCUUUCUCUCUUUCUUUCCCUCUCGUCCUUUCUCUCUUUCUUUCUCUCUCACUCGAUGGGUUUCCUUCUUCCUCCUUUUCUUCCUUCUUCAUCUUCUGCUUCCUUUUUUCUCUUCUUUCUGAGCCGUAAUGAUACUGUCAAAGUUCUUCCAAUAACAAAUCAAGAUCAUGUAACAUGUUGCUAACGAAACCCUAAUUGAAGCCAAUAAAAUUAUUGAACUCAAUCAUACAGAUGCGAUUUCAUAUCUUUUGGUAUUUGAUUUGACUGAUUGAUGUUGUUUUUCACAGGAAUUGGACAUUGGUAGCUUAACCGGUGUUGAGCUUCUUAAAUAUUUGUCUGGUUUUUGAAUUCAAGUUUUAUAACAAGCUUUGAGUUUUGAAGAUUGUGUAGAUUCGAGAAUUUUGAGUUUUCGCUCUUUAGAGAGUUAGUUGUUCACUGGAGAUUGGAUCUGUAAAUGUUUGGCUCUUGCAAAAAGAUUGUCAUUCUUACAGUGCUAGAGAUAAGAAAGCUAUCGAGGAAAGAUGUGAGCAGGUCUGCAGUUGAAAAUUGAACUUUAGAGGAGAAAUUACAGAAAUAUUGGCCAAGCUUUCGGGGGUGUUGUUGUGCUUAAGAUUCAAGAAGCCAAUGAUGCUGAAGUUGGUAAGAAAAAGGAUAGAGUAACAAAUGUCUCUGGUAUCCUCCUUCCGUCGUGCCUCCAUCUCCGUCCUCUGGUCUCCUCCCUUCGUCACAAUUGUAGCAGUUGCAGCACUUUGUGUUCGGUAUGAAGCAUAUUUCAAAUAGUUUUUGGUGAUGUAUGAGUUAUGAUCCGAUUAGAAAUAAUAUCAUGUUAUAUAGUGAUGAUUUUGGACCAAUAUCUGAAUUGAUUGAUUUUAUGAACAUGUAGAUUUUGAUUUGGUUAUUAUCCCCUUCUCUUUUGCUCAAUUUCUAUGGCAACUCUUCAGUUUUUGUUUUAAGCUUUUGUUUUUUUCUUUUGGGCUGGAAUAUAUAUUCUUUAUUUAAUAGUUAUCUAUUUGUAUGUGAACUCCUUGUAUGGUAUGUCCUGUUUUGUAUUCUUAAUUCAAAGUUAUUACGGAGAGGUUGUUCGAGGAAGAAAUUGAUGGUUUGAAAAAGUUAUUCAGGAUGGUUGAUGCUGACAGUAGUUCAAUGCCCUUUGGUUGGUACCUUUUAUUAUGGUAUUCCUCAUCUCAUAUUUUUGUUGUUGUUUUACAAGUUAAGCUUGAAAUUACCUGUUGCUUGCAAGUUACGUCUAAUGGAAGGUUACAAGUCUCCUUUGACAAUUGGGUUGUGUACUGCGACUAUGCCUUUUCCUAGGAGGAAGAUUAUUACCUUGGAUGACACUCUUUCCAUGGGAACCGUUUCAACUUGUGACCACUCCAUUGAAUGAAAAAUCGUGACAAGUGGACGGGGACUGAGUGGAAAAAUUAUUGAAAUGACAUUCCUAGGAACAAUCAAGUUUGCACCAUGGAAAAACCAAGUGGUUCCUUCCUCUAGGCCACCUUUUGGAACGAUUGUUGACGAGGAUAAUUAUAACGAGGCAAAAAAUGCUAGCAACAUGGUUAAUGAAGAACAUUUGAUGGAGAAAAUGAACAAGGAUCUUCCUCCCGUUGAUCUAGAGGAGCCAUUUUGCUGGCUAGCAUGCAAUUAUGCUAAAGUAUCAUUCAAGAUUGUCGGGGCAUCAGUAUCUGGAAUUUCCAUUGAUUCGAAAUUUUUAAGCAUCUAUCCAGGUGUAAAAGCAUCAGUCGAGUUUUCACGGCAGGUAUUUGUUUGUUUUGUGUCUGUAAUAUCGGUGAUUCAUAUUUUAAGGAAACCCAAAAAAUUUCGAUUCUUCCUGUGUCAAUGAUAUAUAUUCAUUAUCUUGUACUAUUUAUUUUCCUAGGUUACUUCUGAGACUAUAUUUUAUGGAAUACUCUUAGUAAGUGCCCACAUGUUGCUACAGUGUGAACAUUAGAAUGGCAGUGGAUCUGAAUCUAAUCAGAGAUGGCAUCAUCAUAUAUUUAUAGAAACUCUGAUAAUGUUUUUUAGUUCUUUGAUCCAUUAAGCAGAUUGGCUUGCUAUAAUUUUUUGCCACUUGAGUCCUUAUGCAGAUGGCCUCUCUGGUAAUAAAUAAUCAAACAAUUGGACUGUAUCUUCAACUACACUCUUUAGAUUUCAUUUGCAACGAUGCAUGUCACGCUUGUCCAAUUUUUAAUGUUCUGUCUCUUUACGCUGAUUCGGUUGUCUUUACGCCAUUUUUUCUUUUAAGCAUGUCUGUCUCCUUAAUCCGCAGGGCACUCACAACAGUUGAAUUGAGAAAGAAAUUGCUUGGAAAGAGAUUAUCUCCUAAUGCAAAAUACAAAUAUUUUUCAUUCUUGAUAUGGGCUGCAGCUGGAGAUAUAUUACAUUUUUGCAUACUUGGUAUUGAACUAUAUGAGUUAUGGUUAUCAUUAUUUAUUUUUUGUUCUCUUUGUUCAGCAUAGAAGUUAACUACUACUACAUGUGACACUUGCAAUUGUCUCUUAGUAUACCUGCAUGCAUAGAACACCAUUUCUGUUGGAAUAUAUUUCAUGUCAUUAGCUAUCUAGGCUUAAUAGGUACAAACCAUGAAUUUCAUACUCUUUGAUAUUGUCAAAACUGGAAAUUUAGUCAUACAACCUAAGAUUAUUGGACUGUGGUAGUUAAGCUUCUUAAUCUUCGCAUGUUUUAUUUAAUGUUCUCAAAGAUUGCUAUAUCAUGCCAAGAUGGUUGUUGAUGACCGACACACCUAUUCAGAACAACCUUUAUGAAUUGUGGGCGUUGAUGUAUUUUUGCAUGCAUUAUGUGUUUGGGUCACUAAAUCAGCUCCUUUCUACAUUCAAGGAAAUCAGAGAGAUCUUACAUUUGAUCUCGAUCCAUUUGAUUCUAUUGCAACAACUGCAUUGGAUUUUGAAAUGUGUUCAUGGAUGAAAGUGACACUGAUAUUACUGGACCAGAAACUCUAGGGAUGCAGCCUCUUGCUUCUCAUGCAAAGCAGAGUCGAGAGUAUGUGUCCAAGCUUUCUUCCUUGCUAAAUUUUGGAAAACAAGUCAGAUUUCUCGAGGAUUCAAUGGCAUUGGACAUGAAGAAAGCUGAGUUAGAAGUGUUUAUCAAGUUUGAAUGGCUUGAUCCUUCUUGAAUAAGAUUGGCAUAUUCUGCUACAGCGGUAUGACACCAGAACAAGUCGAUCAUUUGACAAGCGAGUUUCACAUUUACAGCCUUUAUCAUUUUUUGUUGUUUGAUGUUGUUAGUUUUUUUUAGCAUUUGUUUGAUUUUGUUAAUGAUUGUUAUUAUUUUCUUUUUGGUCUCAGUUUUGAAUCUAGGAUCUAUUCAAAUUUUGGGAAUGACUAAGUCGAUGGAUAUUCUUCCAAAGGGCGGGUUCAGUUUUGACCUCUGCAGAAGAAAUGUUAUGCUUGAGAAGAAGGGUCUCAUACCUCCUACUUCUCAUCAAUGUUAAGCAUAUUCUGUUUUUUAGCAUAUCAAGUUGCAAGAGUGUGAGUUUUUUAGCAAAUCCUGAGUAUCCGUAACUUGCCUGAGACAAUUGAAUACGUGACUAUGAAUCACGACAUUAAAUCACGUUGUGCAUCAACCACUUGUGCUAGACCACUUGUGCCAGACGUGGAUAUUUCAACAUUAUUACUACUACAAAAGCAGUCUAUCAUCAAAUUACUGGAUCCUUUGGAAAUAAUGCAUUCAGACUUAGCCACAGUUUCAAAUGAAAGCUUAUUUUAUAGAAUCUGCAUGGUGUCUUUAUAGAAUCCGCAUCUUCAAUUGUAGCAUAUUCAUGUUCAUUUCUUUUAAGCAAUAUUAGUUCAUAAUUUCUUUGUUC
Long non-coding RNA from Vicia villosa (hairy vetch), 3897 nucleotides. RefSeq lists it as uncharacterized. The transcript has 8 exons. NCBI's taxonomy places the organism in Eukaryota, Viridiplantae, Streptophyta, Magnoliopsida, Fabales, Fabaceae. The record is from RefSeq and is a predicted model, not a curated record.